UGGGGAAUUUUGCGCAAUGGGCGAAAGCCUGACGCAGCGACGCCGCGUGUACGAUGAAGGCCUUUGGGUCGUAAAGUACUGUCAACGGGGACGAACGCCUCAGAUUGAAUAGGUCUGAGGUCUGACGGUACCCGUGGAGGAAGCACCGGCUAACUCUGUGCCAGCAGCCGCGGUAAUACGGAGGAUGCAAGCGUUAUCCGGAAUUAUUGGGCGUAAAGCGUCCGCAGGUGGCACUUCAAGUCUGCUGUCAAAGACCAGAGCUCAACUCUGGGCAGGCGGUGGAAACUGGGGAGCUAGAGUACGGUAGGGGUAGAGGGAAUUUCCAGUGUAGCGGUGAAAUGCGUAGAGAUUGGAAAGAACACCAGUGGCGAAGGCGCUCUACUGGACCUGUACUGACACUAAGGGACGAAAGCUAGGGGAGCGAAAGGGAUUAGAUACCCCCGUAGUCC
RNAcentral lists this ribosomal RNA (449 nucleotides) under uncultured prokaryote. RNAcentral describes it as "bacterial SSU rRNA". It matches the Rfam family "Bacterial small subunit ribosomal RNA", at positions 355 to 796 of the family's 1533-position model. The record is from RNAcentral.